Molecule: transfer RNA, 34 nt
Filed under: Osteolaemus tetraspis (dwarf crocodile)
Lineage: Eukaryota; Metazoa; Chordata; Crocodylia; Crocodylidae
Description: partial tRNA-Trp
Source: RNAcentral
AAGAAAUUAGGUUUAACCUUUAAGCCGAGGGCCU